GAAUCAAUUUAAUUUGAAUUAAAAAAUUUAUUUUUUUUUUAGAUUAUUGAUUUUUUUAAUAAAAAUAAUUUUUAGUUUUUUUAUUUAUUUUAGAUAAAAUUUUUUAUUAAUUAUAGUUAAAUAGUAUAGAGAUAGAAGAUUUAAAUAUAUGAAAUAAGUAAAAUAUAUAAAAGAAAAUUUAAUUUAUUGUACCUUGUGUAUCAGGGUUUAUUAAAUAAGAAUUAUAUAUAAUUAAUUUUCUCGAAUUUAAAAGAGCUAAAAAAUUAUAAAUUUUAUUGUGGUAUAAAUAUUUAUAAUAAUUUUUUAGUAAUGAAACGUUAUUCGUUUUUAAAUUUAUCUAGUUUUUUAAGAAAUAAAUUUAAUUUAGUUAUUUAUUGUUUUAAUUUAUAGAUUCUUAUAAAUUUAGAUUAAAUAAAUAGUUAAUAUUUUAAGGGAUAAGCUUUAAAAUAAAUCUUGAAAAAUAUAAGUUUAUAAUAUAAAAUUUAUAGGAGUGGAAGUAUCUUUUUAUUAUUGUGUUUUAUAACAAAUUUUAUAUAAAAUAAAAUUUUUAUAUUAUUUUCAAUUUUUUAUUAAAAUUAUUAAUAUAAUAGUUUAAUUAAUGUAAUAAUGAUAAAAUUAGUAUAAUUUUAUGUAUAAUUAAUUUAAUUUAUAAAGGUUAAGUUAAGGAAUUCGGCAAAUAAUUUUUCCGCCUGUUUAUUAAAAACAUGUCUUUUUGAUUAUAAUUUAAAGUCUGACCUGCCCUAUGAUAGUAUUAAAUGGCCGCGAUAUUUUGAUCGUGCAAAGGUAGCAUAAUCAUUAGUUUUUUAAUUGAGAACUGGAAUGAAAGGUCGAACGAGAAAAAGACUGUCUCAAUUUAAUUUUAAUUAGAAUUUUAUUUUUAAGUUAAAAAGCUUAAAUAAAUUUAAAAGACGAGAAGACCCUAUAGAGUUUUAUAUACAUAUUAUUUUAAAAAAAGUUAAGAAUUUUUUUUUAUUAUUAUAUUAUGUAUAUUUGGUUGGGGCGACCAAAAAAUUUAAUAAACUUUUUUUAUUUUUAUCCAUUAAUAUAUGAUUAAAUGAUCCAUAAAUUAUGAUUAUAAGAUUAAAUUACCUUAGGGAUAACAGCGUUAUUUUUUUUGAGAGUUCUUAUCGAAAAAAAAGUUUGCGACCUCGAUGUUGGAUUAAAAUUUACUUUUGGUGUAGAAGCUAAAUAGGUUAGGUCUGUUCGACCUUUAAAAUUUUACAUGAUCUGAGUUUAAACCGGUGUAAGCCAGGUUGGUUUCUAUCUUUAAAAUUAUAAAAUAUUUUAGUACGAAAGGAUCAAAUAUUUUUAAUAAUUAAUUAAUAAUAGAUUAAUAAUAAUUUUUAAUUACUUUGGCAGAAUAGUGCUA
Molecule: ribosomal RNA, 1369 nt
Filed under: Onthophagus yukae
Lineage: Eukaryota; Metazoa; Arthropoda; Insecta; Coleoptera; Scarabaeidae
Description: 16S ribosomal RNA
Rfam family: Archaeal large subunit ribosomal RNA (bases 1096-1255)
Source: RNAcentral